CACGUAGGAGACAAGCGUUAUCCGGAUUUACUGGGUGUAAAGCGCGUGCAGGCGGUUUUGUAAGUUGGAUGUGAAAGCUCCUGGCUUAACUGGGAGAGGUCGUUCAAGACUGCAAGACUAGAGUAUGUCAGAGGAGAGUGGAAUUCCGAGUGUAGCGGUAAAAUGCAUAGAUAUUCGGAAGAACACCAGUGGCGAAGGCGGCUCUCUGGGGCAAAACUGACGCUCAGACGCGAAAGCUAGGGUAGCAAACGGG
This 253-nucleotide ribosomal RNA is filed under the name uncultured bacterium. Its description in RNAcentral is "partial 16S ribosomal RNA". It matches the Rfam family "Bacterial small subunit ribosomal RNA", at positions 524 to 776 of the family's 1533-position model. The record is from RNAcentral.